GGUCUUAGCUUAAUUAAAGUAUUUGUUUUGCAUACAGAAGAUGUGGGGUAGUGUCCUGCAGAUCNNN
This 67-nucleotide transfer RNA is filed under the name Merlangius merlangus (whiting). RNAcentral describes it as "tRNA-Ala". It matches the Rfam family "tRNA". From Rfam's summary of the family: Transfer RNA (tRNA) molecules are approximately 80 nucleotides in length. Their secondary structure includes four short double-helical elements and three loops (D, anti-codon, and T loops). The record is from RNAcentral. Lineage: Eukaryota; Metazoa; Chordata; Actinopteri; Gadiformes; Gadidae.